This 755-nucleotide unclassified non-coding RNA is filed under the name Hevea brasiliensis (rubber tree). The record is from RNAcentral. Lineage: Eukaryota; Viridiplantae; Streptophyta; Magnoliopsida; Malpighiales; Euphorbiaceae.
GAAAAAACUCUUAAUUAAAUUUUCGAUCACGAAAACAAAUAAAUAAAUAUAUAAGGGUAAUUUGCUAAAAUCUCUCUUGAGGUUAGGUCAUAACCACUACUGCAUCCACGCUUUUAGAAUUUGUAAUGAUUAGUCCUCGAGUUUUUAACCAGUUAACUAACAAAACAUUCUAUCCAAAUUCUAAAAAUUGCUGUUAGUCAAAUUGGCAAUUAAAGUCAAAUCCUAAAAGUUUAUUAUAAUCCCUGAAGUCCCUUAACUAUACUUUUUCCCUGCUCCACUCAUCUCUCCCUCUCUCAGUUCUGCUACUGCCAUCAAUCCCACUCGCCUUCCUUUUGGAGACUCCACUUCUGUCUGUCUAAAUCAAAUUUGCACCAGAAAGGUCCCUUUGAAAUGAAGGAAAUGUGCUCUCUUUAAGCUUCCCUAAAACAAGAACUGACAGGAGACAACUUAGAGAUGUCCAAACAGAGAAUUAAUCUUGCUGUUCAGAAAUCCUAACCUAGAAAUUAGAGGGAGCUCGAAAUUGUAGGUUCCAUUUGGCAUUGUUGUUUGAGCUUCUAUUGAGAAAAGCAUUAUUCUAAAUAUAUUUAGUUAGAGACCACUAAAAAUUAAUUUUAAGUUAUAUUUGACAUUUUAUCAUAACAACUCCAAAACUGCCAAACAAUUUUGCCAAAUUUCUUUUUUCAACAUCAUCUAAUACAUUUAGGGCUCUUGUUGCCAUGGAAAGACCCAUACAAAAUCAAAUUGCAAUGAACCAA